UACGGAGGGUGCGAGCGUUGUCCGGAAUCACUGGGCUUACAGGGUGCGUAGGCGGCCUUCCAAGUCAGGUGUGAAAUCCCACAGCUCAACUGUGGAACAGCGCUUGAAACUGGUUGGCUUGAGUCAGCUAGAGGUACACGGAACUUCCGGUGGAGCGGUGAAAUGUGUUGAUAUCAGGAGGAACACCCGUAGCGAAGGCGGCACUCUGGGCCGAUACUGACACUGAGGAGCGAAAGCGUGGGGAGCGAACAGG
This 253-nucleotide ribosomal RNA is filed under the name uncultured bacterium. RNAcentral's name for it is "partial 16S ribosomal RNA". It matches the Rfam family "Bacterial small subunit ribosomal RNA", at positions 524 to 776 of the family's 1533-position model. The record is from RNAcentral.